CCUACGGGUGGCAGCAGUAGGGAAUCUUCCACAAUGGGCGAAAGCCUGAUGGAGCAACGCCGCGUGGGUGAAGAAGGUCUUCGGAUCGUAAAACCCUGUUGUUAGAGAAGAAAGUGCGUGAGAGUAACUGUUCACGUUUCGACGGUAUCUAACCAGAAAGCCACGGCUAACUACGUGCCAGCAGCCGCGGUAAUACGUAGGUGGCAAGCGUUAUCCGGAUUUAUUGGGCGUAAAGGGAACGCAGGCGGUCUUUUAAGUCUGAUGUGAAAGCCUUCGGCUUAACCGGAGUAGUGCAUUGGAAGCUGGGAGACGUGAGUGCAGAAGAGGAGAGUGGAACGCCAUGGGUAGCGGUGAAAUGCGUAGAUAUAUGGAAGAACACCAGUGGCGAAAGCGGCUCUCUGGUCUGUAACGGACGCUGAGGUUCGAAAGCGUGGGUAGCAAACAGGAUUAGAUACCCGGGUAGUC
RNAcentral lists this ribosomal RNA (465 nucleotides) under uncultured bacterium. RNAcentral's name for it is "partial 16S ribosomal RNA". It matches the Rfam family "Bacterial small subunit ribosomal RNA", at positions 338 to 795 of the family's 1533-position model. The record is from RNAcentral.